Molecule: long non-coding RNA, 307 nt
Organism: Hippocampus zosterae (dwarf seahorse)
Lineage: Eukaryota; Metazoa; Chordata; Actinopteri; Syngnathiformes; Syngnathidae
Exons: 2
Source: RefSeq, a predicted model, not a curated record
CUUUUACAAAACAUUUCAUGAAGCACCUGACAUUUCCUUCACCAAAUGUGCAAUUUACUUGUAUCAUUCACAUAUAUGCAUUGCAACUGAUCCCAUUGAUUGUACAAACUUUAACAAGUAAUUGGUAUUGAAAAAUAUAGUAAUGCACUUUAUGAUUCAACAAGAUUUAUAAAGAAAUCAAGCCAGUGCCUCCUUUGCCACUCCUGGGCCGUGUUCGGCCCACAUGCAUUAUGCCAGUGCCGACUCAAGGCCAGCUGUGCCAGCUUCAUGCCGAAUCCGGGCCAGAUGCCUUUGCUGACUGGGUAGU